AUUCUUCUAGUAUUAAAAAGUACUGCUGACUUCCAAUCAGCCAGUCUCAGUAACAAACCUGAGGAAGAGUA
This 71-nucleotide transfer RNA is filed under the name Urotrichus talpoides (Japanese shrew mole). RNAcentral's name for it is "tRNA-Gly". The record is from RNAcentral. Lineage: Eukaryota; Metazoa; Chordata; Mammalia; Eulipotyphla; Talpidae.